RNAcentral lists this long non-coding RNA (1877 nucleotides) under Onthophagus taurus. RNAcentral's name for it is "uncharacterized LOC111426134". The record is from RNAcentral. Lineage: Eukaryota; Metazoa; Arthropoda; Insecta; Coleoptera; Scarabaeidae.
AAUGUUUAUUAUUAAGAUUAUUUUAAAUUAAUAAACUUAUAAAUUAGUUUUUAACGCCUAAACGAAGCCCUCAAAACACGUAUUACAAGCUAAGGAGUGUAAGACCUUGUGAAUAAACCUCUGAAGGCGAAGUUAAUAUCUUUUCGUUGGGUGAUCUUUAAACCUAUAUAAACAAAGAACUUAAUUAAGAAUUGAUUGAAGAAAACGGAGUUAAGAAGAAAGAAGUAUUAACCAACUUAGUUAGUGUCACCGAAUAUGGUGAAUAUCUUCAUUGUUGCCAAAGAAUUCGAAUUAAUAAGAUUGUUACAUGAUAAAGAAGAGAAUUAACUACUUAUCACUAACUAAAAUUGAAGGAAUUCUGAAUUUACAAACGAUUUUAACUCCGAAGAGUAUUUCUAUCAAAGAAUUGUAUAAAAAAUAAUGAGAAGGAUGCCACAACUGAAUAAAUUGGUGAAAAAGGCCUUGUUAUUGCGGUGAAUUUGCUUACUUAAUAAGCACGCGUGUUCUUGGUGGUUCGUGCUGAAAAGCUUACGAAGCGUCGCGUUCUGCGAACAUCGGUCGACUGCCUGAAGCAGAAGAGUUCGGCUGCAACCCGGGUUCCAAUGGGAUGAGCGCACGCAUCCCUAUUGCCGGCGGCACGCUCCUGGCAAUACCAGGAGAGAAACUUGAAGUGACUUGAAAUUUGAUCACCAACGAGAGAGAGAGCAAACUUGUGGAUAUUGUGACACCUGUAUGUCUGGCCUCAAGGUUGAAGUACCUCAAAAUAAUGGAUAAGUCGUAAAAUCUUAAUGUUUAUGGAUUUAAAAUUUUAUACAAUUCUUCAAAUCGCCGGAUUUAAUCGGAUUAUUCGGAAAACCCUGAAAUAACGAUUGUUUUGAAGGUGUAACUAGAAACUUGGAAACCACGUAGAACUUUAGCUUUUGCAAUGUACAUAACGCAGGUGCGAUUGCGGUUGCCACAAGCGAUGACUUAAAGUGCUUUCUGAGGUAAAGUUGGACUACACUUGAAGGAGCGAACAUGGUUCGAUGUUGUAACGAUAAAACAGGAAAUUUAUCUCGGCUUUACGUGCCUUAGUAUUUGGAAGUUGAACAAAACGGUGGCAAUUAAUGAUAAAAAGUUUAAUCCGACGACAAAUAAAUUAUGCGCGCCGUUGCGGGCCACAGUCACGUUCGCGUUCACGUUCAAGGCGGUUUCUCAAUUAAUACACACCGAACAAUAACCGGCGGUGGGGGGAUAGAGAUUUCCACUUCCGGUUCGCGAACCCAGCACAAUCACCUGCAUUCAAUAAUAAUUUAUCUGGCUGAAAACGGCCCCCCGUAUCGCGGAUUAUUUCGGUUAGAGGGGAGGCGACACCGUAAUUCCCCCCAUUGUUGCCGAGCUUUCUGAAGUCUAAUCUAGGCAAAACUGGGCCCUGGAUAUUCCAGAUACGCUGUGUUACCAACAAACUAGUAUCGGACUUUAAAUAAUUUUUGUAGUAAAAUUUAAUUUUGUUUUCUUUGAUCCUUUACGUUUCCGUAAAGAACAAAAGGGAAGGCAAUUCUGAAAAACAGGGCGUUUAGAAAAUCCCAGAUGGGGUGGGAAUUAUUCAAAUGCGGCGAAGAGGGCUUUAGGUUCCCGGUGGUUCGGAGCCGUAACGCACGCAAAUUCUUUCCUAAUAACUGAAGUUUGCGCGAUUUGGCGUACGCCGUCGGAAUAAAGAUCCCUCGGAAAAUCCGGCCUUUGCGGAAAGCGUAAGUGUGUAAUAAUUCCCAGGGACGGCUAAAAUUUACAUCGAAAGUUCGAUUGGACUGAAUUUCGAAUUCCCAAAACGAUUCGGUUAAGAUGUGUUGUUUAUAUUGUAUUGAAUUUUAAUUUGAUAUAUAAACACAAUAUUCGAA